Molecule: long non-coding RNA, 2073 nt
Filed under: Homo sapiens (human)
Lineage: Eukaryota; Metazoa; Chordata; Mammalia; Primates; Hominidae
Description: HSALNT0056048
Source: RNAcentral
UAGAAAGGCAAUACUCUAUGUAUGCCAUUUAUUAUUUAACACCGAUCAUUGAACUCAUUAAUCCUUCUACACAGGAAAACAUUAAUAUUCACAUUAAGUGGACUAAAUAGAUUAAGUUACAUUAUGCCAGACAGAGUCGGGAUGAAUGAGUUUAGUUUAGGCUCAGGUUUGGUCAUCAAAUGAAUCACCAAAAAAAAAAAAAAAUUUGUUUUCAGAGCUUUCUGGAUUUCAGAAUUUCAGAUAAGGGAAUGUAGGUCUCGGCUUCUGUAUUUCACAGGGAGGAGUAGUCCGAGUAGGUGCCUGGAAAUAGGGUCUUUGUAGAUGUAAUCAAGUUAUGAUGAGGUCAUUAGGGUGGGCCCUGAUCCGAUACAAAGUGUGUCCUUUUGAGAAGAGGAAAACCGGAGCGUGAAACUGAUGACCGUGAGCUCCUCUGAGGGUCGGUGAUAGGACAUCCAAUUAGAGAGCUGCAGAGGAGGAGGAGUACCAGGCCAUGGAAGGGGUUGGAGGCUAGAAGGGGCUUUCCAGGCAGAGGGAGCAGAGUUUUCAAAAGUCCUGUGGCAGGAUUGAGCGGUCAGGAAGCUAAAAGGUAUUCUAGAAAACCCUUUGCGAAUAAAGUUUAAAGCUUCCCCAAUUUAAACAGAAAUGGAGCCCUGCCUAAAUGUAAAAGGCUACUAAGUAGAACUUGCUUAUUGUGGCAGACAAGCUGUGGGGUUCUGGCCAGUUGUCUGCAUCCGUCUCUGAGAAUUCUUUUCCUUCAGCCACGGGGGAAGGAAGGCCCCUUCAGCCUAAUGGGACCUGCGUAAGCCCACCCCUCUUCUGCAGCUGUUCGGCCAGGAGCGAGCUUUGGUUGGCUUCUUGCCGCUUAAAUAUUUCUCUCUCUCUCUCUGAAUCAAGAAACAGAGAUGAGAGAGUUGGCCGUUUAGUUACUUUAAUGGCGCAACUUUAGAAUGUCUAGACUUCUGCUUCAGAGAGAUGCCUGGCUCCUACCUUCUGAUAAGGCUGGCAGGUCGGGUGCCUCUGGAAGCUGGCCCUGAGACAAGGAUUUGAAGGCUGUUGUGCGGAUUACAGGAAAUAAUGCUGUAAAGCAAGGGUCUCCAACCCCAACCGCACCGCCCACCCCGUCCCCCGCCCUGGUAGCAGUCUGUGGCCUUUUAGGAACCAGGUCACACAGCAGGAAGUGAGGAGUGGGAGAGCCAGUGAAGCUUCACCUGUGUUUACAGCUGCUCCCAAUUGCUCACAUUACUGCCUGAGCUCCGCCUCCUGUCAGAUCAACUGCGGCAUCAGAUUCUCAAAGGAGCACAAACCCUAUUGUGAACUGCACAUGCAAGGGAUCUAGGUUGUUCACUCUUGAUGAUAAUCUAAUGCCUGAUGAUCAGUCACUUUCUCCCAUAACCCCAAGAUGGAACCGUCUAGUUGAAGGAAAACAAGCUCAGAGAUCUCACUGAUUCUACAUUAUGGUCAACUCUGCUUCAUUGUGGGAAGGGACUACCCAAGGGCAUGUGUACUAGAAGCAUAAAAAUCUGUGUUUUGGGAUUCGAUGAACUCUUGGAAAGCAUUUUCUGUUUCCUGCUGAUUGUGGAAGCUGUUUCCCUGCAAAAAGUUGUCAAGAUGCUUGAAGAAGUGGUAGUCAGUUGGCGAGAGGUCAGGUGAAUAUAAUGAAUGAGGCAAAACUUCAUAACCCAAUUAGUUCAACUUUUGAAGGGUGGGAUGUGCAAUGUACGGUUGGGGAUUGUUGUGUAGAAGAAUUGGGCCCUUUCUGUUGAUCAAUGCCAGCUGCAGGCAUUGCAAUUUUCAGUGCAUGUCAUCAAUUUGCAGAGCAUACUUCUCAGAUGUAAUGGUUUCACCGGAUUCAGAAAGCUGUAGUGGACCACACUGACAGUAGACCACUAAACAGUGACCAUGACCUUAUUUUGGUGCAAUUUGGCUUUGGGAAGUGCUUUGGAGCUUCUUCUUGGUCCUUCCAUUGAGCUGGUCAUCAUCAACUGUUGUAGAAAAUCCACUUUUCGUGGCACAUCACAAUCUGAUCAAGAAAGGGUUCAUUGUUGCGUAGAAUAAGAGAAGAUGACAUUUCAA